CUUAUACUUAAGCGCUUAUAUAAAUCUUACUCGUAGGCAAGUUGCAAGUCCGCUAGACCGACUCCUAAAAGCGUCUAUGAGGUACGUCCUGCUUAGGCACGCUUUGUCGUAGAAGAUAAGCUCAAUAGCAUAAACUAGUUCAAAAAAUUAAUUUCAAGGAAGAAGACGUUCCAUGGCUACCUCAAAAAAUAAACUAAAAUAUUCAUAAAGCUGGCGAAUUUACUAAUUUCUGAAGUGAAAAAAAAAUGUAGAGAGCUCUAAAUGUUUAGAAUUUAAUCACC
Long non-coding RNA from Zophobas morio, 281 nucleotides. RefSeq lists it as uncharacterized. Lineage: Eukaryota; Metazoa; Arthropoda; Insecta; Coleoptera; Tenebrionidae. The record is from RefSeq and is a predicted model, not a curated record. The transcript has 3 exons.